Molecule: ribosomal RNA, 495 nt
Filed under: uncultured bacterium
Lineage: Bacteria
Description: partial 16S ribosomal RNA
Rfam family: Bacterial small subunit ribosomal RNA
Source: RNAcentral
GACGAACGCUGGCGGCGUGCCUAAUACAUGCAAGUAGAACGCUGAAGGAGGAGCUUGCUUCUCUGGAUGAGUUGCGAACGGGUGAGUAACGCGUAGGUAACCUGCCUGGUAGCGGGGGAUAACUAUUGGAAACGAUAGCUAAUACCGCAUAAGAGUAGAUGUUGCAUGACAUUUGCUUAAAAGGUGCAAUUGCAUCACUACCAGAUGGACCUGCGUUGUAUUAGCUAGUUGGUGGGGUAACGGCUCACCAAGGCGACGAUACAUAGCCGACCUGAGAGGGGGAUCGGCCAAACUGGGAAUGAGACACGGCCCAGACUCCUACGGGAGGCAGCAGUAGGGAAUCUUCGGCAAUGGACGGAAGUCUGACCGAGCAACGCCGCGUGAGUGAAGAAGGGUUUCGGAUCGUAAAGCUCUGUUGUAAGAGAAGAACGAGUGUGAGAGUGGAAAGUUCACACUGUGACGGUAUCUUACCAGAAAGGGACGGCUAACUACGUG